RNAcentral lists this ribosomal RNA (235 nucleotides) under uncultured Enterobacterales bacterium. Its description in RNAcentral is "partial 16S ribosomal RNA". It matches the Rfam family "Bacterial small subunit ribosomal RNA", at positions 96 to 334 of the family's 1533-position model. The record is from RNAcentral. Lineage: Bacteria; Pseudomonadati; Pseudomonadota; Gammaproteobacteria; Enterobacterales.
UGGCGGACGGGUGAGUAAUGUCUGGGAAACUGCCUGAUGGAGGGGGAUAACUACUGGAAACGGUAGCUAAUACCGCAUAACGUCGCAAGACCAAAGAGGGGGACCUUCGGGCCUCUUGCCAUCAGAUGUGCCCAGAUGGGAUUAGCUUGUUGGUGGGGUAACGGCUCACCAAGGCGACGAUCCCUAGCUGGUCUGAGAGGGUGACCGGCCACAUUGGGACUGAGAUACGGCCCAG